Molecule: ribosomal RNA, 744 nt
Filed under: Triticum aestivum (bread wheat)
Lineage: Eukaryota; Viridiplantae; Streptophyta; Magnoliopsida; Poales; Poaceae
Description: partial small subunit ribosomal RNA
Source: RNAcentral
AUGUCGACCGACGUGGCCGCCGAUGUCCCGGCCCCUGAGGUGGAGGUGGCCGCCGACCACGUCGUGGAGACCACGGCCGAGGCCGCCGCCGGCGACGCGAAGCCGGUCAAGGAGACCAAGGCCAAGGCGGCGAAGGCCAAGAAGCCCUCCGCCCCGAGGAAGCCCCGCGCCACCCCCGCCCACCCGACCUACGCCGAGAUGGUGUCGGAGGCCAUUACCGCCCUGAAGGAGCGGACGGGGUCGAGCCAGUACGCCAUCGCCAAGUUCGUCGAGGACAAGCACAAGGCGCACCUCCCCGGCAACUUCCGCAAGAUUCUGUCGGUGCAGCUCAAGAAGCUGGUCGCCUCCGGCAAGCUGACCAAGGUCAAGGCCUCCUACAAGCUGUCUGCCGCAGCGGCCAAGCCCAAGCCGGCGGCCAAGAAGAAGCCCGCGGCGAAGAAGAAGGCGCCAGCCAAGAAGACCGCCACCAAGACCAAGGCCAAGGCCCCCGCCAAGAAGGCCGCCGCCAAGCCCAAGCCCAAGGCCCCCGCGAAGACCAAGUCCGCCGCGAAGCCCAAGGCUGCCGCCAAGCCCAAGGGCCGCCCCGCCAAGGCUGCCAAGACCUCUGCCGCCGCCGCGGCGCCCAAGAAGCCUGCCGCCAGGAAGGCGCCCACCAAGAGAUCCACGCCGGUGAAGAAGGCCGCGGCCGCCAAGAAGGCAGCGCCGGCGAAGAAGGCCCCUGCCGCCAAGAAGGCCAAGAAGUAG